GACGAACGCGGCGGCGUGCGUAAUACGUGCAAGUAGAACGCUGAAGAGAGGAGCUUGCUCUUCUUGGAAGAGUUGCGAACGGGUGAGUAACGCGUAGGUAACCUGCCUUGUAGCGGGGGAUAACUAUUGGAAACGAUAGCUAAUACCGCAUAACAAUGGAUGACACAUGUCAUUUAUUUGAAAGGGGCAACUGCUCCACUACAAGAUGGACCUGCGUUGUAUUAGCUAGUAGGUGAGGUGACGGCUCACCUAGGCGACGAUACAUAGCCGACCUGAGAGGGUGAUCGGCCACACUGGGACUGAGACACGGCCCAGACUCCUACGGGAGGCAGCAGUAGGGAAUCUUCGGCGAUGGGGGCAACCCUGACCGAGCAACGCCGCGUGAGUGAAGAAGGUUUUCGGAUCGUAAAGCUCUGUUGUAAGUCAAGAACGAGUGUGAGAGUGGAAAGUUCACACUGUGACGGUAGCUUACCAGAAAGGGACGGCUAACUACGUGCCAGCAGCCGCGGUAAUACGUAGGUCCCGAGCGUUGUCCGGAUUUAUUGGGCGUAAAGCGAGCGCAGGCGGUUUGAUAAGUCUGAAGUUAAAGGCUGUGGCUCAACCAUAGUUCGCUUUGGAAACUGUCAAACUUGAGUGCAGAAGGGGAGAGUGGAAUUCCAUGUGUAGCGGUGAAAUGCGUAGAUAUAUGGAGGAACACCGGUGGCGGAAGCGGCUCUCUGGUCUGUAACUGACGCUGAGGCUCGAAAGCGUGGGGAGCGAACAGG
RNAcentral lists this ribosomal RNA (764 nucleotides) under uncultured Streptococcus sp. Its description in RNAcentral is "bacterial SSU rRNA". It matches the Rfam family "Bacterial small subunit ribosomal RNA", at positions 28 to 776 of the family's 1533-position model. Lineage: Bacteria; Bacillati; Bacillota; Bacilli; Lactobacillales; Streptococcaceae. The record is from RNAcentral.